CCUACGGGAGGCAGCAGUAGGGAAUCUUCCACAAUGGGCGAAAGCCUGAUGGAGCAACGCCGCGUGAGUGAUGAAGGCCUUCGGGUUGUAAAACUCUGUCAUUCGGGACGAACCGGAGUCUGAGGAAAUGCAGACUCUCUGACGGUACCGGAGGAGGAAGCCCCGGCUAACUACGUGCCAGCAGCCGCGGUAAUACGUAGGGGGCAAGCGUUGUCCGGAUUCACUGGGCGUAAAGCGCGCGCAGGCGGUGAUGUAAGUCUGAGGUGAAAACCCGAAGCUCAACUUCGGGACUGCCUUGGAUACUGCGUCACUUGAGGAUAGGAGAGGCAAGGGGGAAUUCCACGUGUAGCGGUGAAAUGCGUAGAGAUGUGGAGGAACACCUGUGGCGAAGGCGCCUUGCUGGCCUAUUCUGACGCUGAGGCGCGAAAGCGUGGGGAGCAAACAGGAUUAGAUACCCUGGUAGUCCACGCUGUAAACGAUGAGUGCUAGGUGUAGGUGGCUCAUACCCAUCUGUGCCGAAGCUAACGCAUUAAGCACNCCGCCGUCGGGAGGUACGGUCGCGACGACGUACGAACGUACGAAGUAGAGUUAGACGGCGNGAGAGNGCGACGGCGACGACGAGGGAGGAGG
Molecule: ribosomal RNA, 630 nt
Filed under: uncultured bacterium
Lineage: Bacteria
Description: bacterial SSU rRNA
Rfam family: Bacterial small subunit ribosomal RNA (bases 1-543)
Source: RNAcentral